GAUGAAGAACGUAGCGAAAUGCGAUAAGUAAUGUGAAUUGCAGAAUUCAGUGAAUCAUCGAAUCUUUGAACGCACAUUGCGCCCCCUGGCAUUCCGGGGGGCAUGCCUGUUCGAGCGUCAUUACAACCCUCAAGCUCUGCUUGGUAUUGGGCUCUGCUGGGACCGGCAGGCCUUAAAAUCAGUGGCGGCGCCACUCGGCUUCAAGCGUAGUAAUUCUUCUCGCUUCGGAGACCCGGGUGCGUGCUAGCCAGCAACCCCCAACUUUCUUAGGUUGACCUCGGAUCAGGUAGGGAUCCCCGCUGAACUUAAGCAUAUCAAUACGCGGAGGA
Molecule: unclassified non-coding RNA, 329 nt
Filed under: soil metagenome
Description: partial contains 5.8S ribosomal RNA, internal transcribed spacer 2, and large subunit ribosomal RNA
Rfam family: 5.8S ribosomal RNA (bases 1-120)
Source: RNAcentral